This 253-nucleotide ribosomal RNA is filed under the name uncultured bacterium. RNAcentral's name for it is "partial 16S ribosomal RNA". It matches the Rfam family "Bacterial small subunit ribosomal RNA", at positions 524 to 776 of the family's 1533-position model. The record is from RNAcentral.
UACGUAGGGAGCAAGCGUUGUUCGGAUUUACUGGGCGUAAAGGGCGCGUAGGCGGCGCGGUAAGUCACUUGUGAAAUCUCUGAGCUUAACUCAGAACGGCCAAGUGAUACUGUCGCGCUAGAGUGCGGAAGGGGCAAUCAGAAUUCUUGGUGUAGCGGUGAAAUGCGUAGAUAUCAAGAGGAAUACCUGAGGUGAAGACGGGUUGCUAGGCCGACACUGACGCUGAAGCGCGAAAGCCAGGGGAGCAAACGGG